UUGCAGAGUCUUGUUGAGUUACACCCCAUCAAACUCCAUGGACUUGCUUACUGGAAUAUCCAUCUUGAAGACUAAGCUCAAAUAGGGAUUGUACACAUUGCACUUCAUUCCCAAAGCCUGGUGUGCCAGUGAGCAGGAUUUGGGGGCCUGGGGGGCUCCAGCAGUCAUCAACUGGGGAGGCAACACUUCCCACUGGAUAAGAUAUUGGAUGGAGGAGUCUGGAAUCUGCUGACAGUUCUGCCAUGCACCUGCCUUGUGAUAUUGGGAAAUCCCAGUGGUAUAACUGUAAAAUGUAGAAACAGUUUUUGUUACUUCAUCAAGUCACAAGCGAGAUGCCCUCAGUGAAUCUUUUGACAUCCACAGAUGGAUAUAAAGAAAUGCCCAGGAAGCCUGGUAAGGCUGGACUAAAACAAAUUUCGAAAGCUGCUGUGAAAUGGAAUUGUUGUCGUCCGAUCAGCUCUAGUUCAGAUUGAGCCAAAUGCAUCUUUAGCUCUUGAGCCAGCUCUUCAUCUCUCAAGGAGAAACGUGCUUCAGAAUUUUGUUACCUAGACAACUUUCAAGUCUUGAUUUUAGGUUUUAAGUGGGGACCCGAGUGCUUUGUGUUUUGUGCGCUAGAGCCAACUGCCAAGUUGUUGUUGUGAUUGUCAUUUGACUCCUACGAACCACACUUUCUGGAUCCAGGGCAAGCUUUUGGGAAGAAAAAGCUGAUGGAACAUGUCGCUGUCUGUACUGAAAUAUCAUGAUGAUGUAACUAGUAAAUGUGGACAUCAAGGUUGUGGCUUCCUUGGGUGGUGUGGGCAGGUUCAUUCUCAUGAGUCUAUUGCUUUUUCCUCAUGCUACUCUAAUUCUGUCCCUUGCAGCAUUACGUAGUGAAUAGAAGUCCUUGCUCCCCUGAGCUUCUCCUCUCUUCCUCUAGCCUGUCUGCUUUCUCUCCUGGAGCCAGAAAAGGAAAAAUAAAUGCCAAACUCCUCACUUUGUUUUAAUUCUAAAUCUUUUUAGAUUAAAAAAAAAAAGACGGAUGGUCUUCUGGCUGAAACAUGAGUUUGGUAGGCAGGAAACCUGUGUUCUGUUCCUGGCUCUGUCACAGAUUGUUAUUUGUUAAUUGGCUGUUAUUUGUAUUGCACAAUCACCAGACGGUCCCAACCGGGUUGUACCAAGUAUUCUAUAAACAUGGCCUCAGGCACUUACAGUCGAAGACCAUCUCCCUGUCUGCCCCAGCCACUCUGUUCUAACCUGGAUUCCUUACUCUUUUCGCACUCCCACCCAUCUCUUUUCCUGAGACCUCACAAAAGAAUUGGAUCCUAUUCCUGAGACUCCCACUUUCCCCAUAGAUUCAUAGACUCUAGGACUGGAAGGGACCUCGAGAGGUCAUCGAGUCCAGUCCCCUG
Trachemys scripta elegans is the source of this 1388-nucleotide long non-coding RNA. RefSeq lists it as uncharacterized. The record is from RefSeq and is a predicted model, not a curated record. The transcript has 4 exons. NCBI's taxonomy places the organism in Eukaryota, Metazoa, Chordata, Testudines, Emydidae.